RNAcentral lists this unclassified non-coding RNA (339 nucleotides) under soil metagenome. Its description in RNAcentral is "partial contains 5.8S ribosomal RNA, internal transcribed spacer 2, and large subunit ribosomal RNA". The stretch from base 1 to 120 matches the Rfam family "5.8S ribosomal RNA", at positions 35 to 154 of the family's 154-position model. The record is from RNAcentral.
GAUGAAGAACGUAGCGAAAUGCGAUAACUAAUGUGAAUUGCAGAAUUCAGUGAAUCAUCGAGUCUUUGAACGCACAUUGCGCCCCCUGGUAUUCCGGGGGGCAUGCCUGUCCGAGCGUCAUUGCUGCCCUCAAGCACGGCUUGUGUGUUGGGCUCCGUCCCCCCGGGGACGGGCCCGAAAGGCAGCGGCGGCACCGAGUCCGGUCCUCGAGCGUAUGGGGCUUUGUCACCCGCUCUGUAGGCCCGGCCGGCGCCAGCCGACAACCCAUCAUCCUUUUCAGGUUGACCUCGGAUCAGGUAGGGAUACCCGCUGCACUUAAGCAUAUCAAUAAGCGGAGGA